GUGCCAUGUGUGGAUAUAUAUGUCUAGCCUCUGUGGUUCAGUUGAGUUACCAUGAUUUACAUACUCCCAGAUGCUUUGUCGGGCCAGGGUAUGGGGGGCUCUUGGGGUUGGGGAUUCAAUCUUUUG
This is a long non-coding RNA of Ipomoea nil (Japanese morning glory), 126 nucleotides long. RefSeq lists it as uncharacterized. The transcript has 3 exons. Lineage: Eukaryota; Viridiplantae; Streptophyta; Magnoliopsida; Solanales; Convolvulaceae. The record is from RefSeq and is a predicted model, not a curated record.